CGGCCGCUUCCAAGGACUU
This 19-nucleotide small nuclear RNA is filed under the name Arabidopsis thaliana (thale cress). Its description in RNAcentral is "snRNA_04370". The record is from RNAcentral. Lineage: Eukaryota; Viridiplantae; Streptophyta; Magnoliopsida; Brassicales; Brassicaceae.